UACGUAGGGGGCUAGCGUUGUCCGGAAUCAUUGGGCGUAAAGAGCGUGUAGGCGGCCCGGUAAGUCCGCUGUGAAAGUCGGGGGCUCAACCCUCGAAUGCCGGUGGAUACUGUGGGGCUAGAGUCCGGAAGAGGCGAGUGGAAUUCCUGGUGUAGCGGUGGAAUGCGCAGAUAUCAGGAGGAACACCGAUAGCGAAGGCAGCUCGCUGGGACGGUACUGACGCUAAAGCGCGAAAGCGUGGGGAGCGAACAGG
RNAcentral lists this ribosomal RNA (253 nucleotides) under uncultured bacterium. Its description in RNAcentral is "partial 16S ribosomal RNA". It matches the Rfam family "Bacterial small subunit ribosomal RNA", at positions 524 to 776 of the family's 1533-position model. The record is from RNAcentral.